RNAcentral lists this small nucleolar RNA (108 nucleotides) under Gossypium hirsutum (cotton). Its description in RNAcentral is "Plant small nucleolar RNA R71". It matches the Rfam family "Plant small nucleolar RNA R71". Rfam says of the family: R71 is a member of the C/D box family of snoRNAs containing the C (UGAUGA) and D (CUGA) box motifs. RNAcentral also lists the same sequence under 1 other name. The record is from Rfam by way of RNAcentral. Lineage: Eukaryota; Viridiplantae; Streptophyta; Magnoliopsida; Malvales; Malvaceae.
AACCCAUGAUGAUGACAUCUUCUAAAUAAAUUUCUUAAAUCUCUCCAAUGCAUCAUAUAAUGUCACCAAAUUGAUUUGAGCAAAAGAAGAGAUAUCAUUCCUCAACUU